RNAcentral lists this ribosomal RNA (1449 nucleotides) under Limosilactobacillus fermentum. Its description in RNAcentral is "bacterial SSU rRNA". It matches the Rfam family "Bacterial small subunit ribosomal RNA". Lineage: Bacteria; Bacillati; Bacillota; Bacilli; Lactobacillales; Lactobacillaceae. The record is from RNAcentral.
UGCAGUCGAACGCGUUGGCCCAAUUGAUUGAUGGUGCUUGCACCUGAUUGAUUUUGGUCGCCAACGAGUGGCGGACGGGUGAGUAACACGUAGGUAACCUGCCCAGAAGCGGGGGACAACAUUUGGAAACAGAUGCUAAUACCGCAUAACAGCGUUGUUCGCAUGAACAACGCUUAAAAGAUGGCUUCUCGCUAUCACUUCUGGAUGGACCUGCGGUGCAUUAGCUUGUUGGUGGGGUAACGGCCUACCAAGGCGAUGAUGCAUAGCCGAGUUGAGAGACUGAUCGGCCACAAUGGGACUGAGACACGGCCCAUACUCCUACGGGAGGCAGCAGUAGGGAAUCUUCCACAAUGGGCGCAAGCCUGAUGGAGCAACACCGCGUGAGUGAAGAAGGGUUUCGGCUCGUAAAGCUCUGUUGUUAAAGAAGAACACGUAUGAGAGUAACUGUUCAUACGUUGACGGUAUUUAACCAGAAAGUCACGGCUAACUACGUGCCAGCAGCCGCGGUAAUACGUAGGUGGCAAGCGUUAUCCGGAUUUAUUGGGCGUAAAGAGAGUGCAGGCGGUUUUCUAAGUCUGAUGUGAAAGCCUUCGGCUUAACCGGAGAAGUGCAUCGGAAACUGGAUAACUUGAGUGCAGAAGAGGGUAGUGGAACUCCAUGUGUAGCGGUGGAAUGCGUAGAUAUAUGGAAGAACACCAGUGGCGAAGGCGGCUACCUGGUCUGCAACUGACGCUGAGACUCGAAAGCAUGGGUAGCGAACAGGAUUAGAUACCCUGGUAGUCCAUGCCGUAAACGAUGAGUGCUAGGUGUUGGAGGGUUUCCGCCCUUCAGUGCCGGAGCUAACGCAUUAAGCACUCCGCCUGGGGAGUACGACCGCAAGGUUGAAACUCAAAGGAAUUGACGGGGGCCCGCACAAGCGGUGGAGCAUGUGGUUUAAUUCGAAGCUACGCGAAGAACCUUACCAGGUCUUGACAUCUUGCGCCAACCCUAGAGAUAGGGCGUUUCCUUCGGGAACGCAAUGACAGGUGGUGCAUGGUCGUCGUCAGCUCGUGUCGUGAGAUGUUGGGUUAAGUCCCGCAACGAGCGCAACCCUUGUUACUAGUUGCCAGCAUUAAGUUGGGCACUCUAGUGAGACUGCCGGUGACAAACCGGAGGAAGGUGGGGACGACGUCAGAUCAUCAUGCCCCUUAUGACCUGGGCUACACACGUGCUACAAUGGACGGUACAACGAGUCGCGAACUCGCGAGGGCAAGCAAAUCUCUUAAAACCGUUCUCAGUUCGGACUGCAGGCUGCAACUCGCCUGCACGAAGUCGGAAUCGCUAGUAAUCGCGGAUCAGCAUGCCGCGGUGAAUACGUUCCCGGGCCUUGUACACACCGCCCGUCACACCAUGAGAGUUUGUAACACCCAAAGUCGGUGGGGUAACCUUUUAGGAGCCAGCCGCCUAAGG